RNAcentral lists this microRNA precursor (59 nucleotides) under Sphenodon punctatus (tuatara). RNAcentral describes it as "Spt-Mir-10-P2c_pre stem-loop". It matches the Rfam family "mir-10 microRNA precursor family", at positions 8 to 66 of the family's 74-position model. From Rfam's summary of the family: In this case the mature sequence comes from the 5' arm of the precursor. Lineage: Eukaryota; Metazoa; Chordata; Lepidosauria; Sphenodontia; Sphenodontidae. The record is from RNAcentral.
AACCCGUAGAUCCGAUCUUGUGGUGAAGUGUACUGCACAAGCUCGUUUCUAUGGGUCUG